AACGAACGCUGGCGGCAUGCCUAACACAUGCAAGUCGAACGAGACCUUCGGGUCUAGUGGCGCACGGGUGCGUAACGCGUGGGAAUCUGCCCUUGGGUUCGGAAUAACAGUUGGAAACGACUGCUAGUACCGGAUGAUGACGUAAGUCCAAAGAUUUAUCGCCCAAGGAUGAGCCCGCGUAGGAUUAGCUAGUUGGUGAGGUAAAGGCUCACCAAGGCGACGAUCCUUAGCUGGUCUGAGAGGAUGAUCAGCCACACUGGGACUGAGACACGGCCCAGACUCCUACGGGAGGCAGCAGUGGGGAAUAUUGGACAAUGGGCGAAAGCCUGAUCCAGCAAUGCCGCGUGAGUGAUGAAGGCCUUAGGGCUGUAAAGCUCUUUUACCCGGGAUGAUAAUGACAGUACCGGGAGAAUAAGCUCCGGCUAACUCCGUG
This 433-nucleotide ribosomal RNA is filed under the name uncultured bacterium. RNAcentral describes it as "partial 16S ribosomal RNA". It matches the Rfam family "Bacterial small subunit ribosomal RNA", at positions 29 to 507 of the family's 1533-position model. The record is from RNAcentral.